This is a long non-coding RNA of Hemicordylus capensis (graceful crag lizard), 280 nucleotides long. RefSeq lists it as uncharacterized. The record is from RefSeq and is a predicted model, not a curated record. The transcript has 2 exons. Lineage: Eukaryota; Metazoa; Chordata; Lepidosauria; Squamata; Cordylidae.
CAACUACACAGGUAUGAAGCUUGUUGUUAUUUUCAGAACAUGAUUCAUGCACGAGGAUGGAGUGUGAUAUGGUGUCUCAGGGUGAGGAAGGAUCUAUACUUCUACUACUAAGAGUUGAAUUUCCAGAGCAUCAGUGAUGUAAUUUCUUAUUGAAGAUGUGCCAAACCGUUCAGAAGUCAGCCAAGCAGCAGAGAAUUUGGAGCAUUCGCUGGUGGCCUGGAGACUAAACACUCUUGUUUUCUGCAUUUGCUCGGCUGAUAAAUUCAAAGCAGAUGCUCUC